RNAcentral lists this ribosomal RNA (400 nucleotides) under uncultured Bacillus sp. Its description in RNAcentral is "bacterial SSU rRNA". It matches the Rfam family "Bacterial small subunit ribosomal RNA", at positions 971 to 1375 of the family's 1533-position model. The record is from RNAcentral. Lineage: Bacteria; Bacillati; Bacillota; Bacilli; Caryophanales; Bacillaceae.
CUAUCUGGGGGUGACCAGGUCACGAUUAGCGGAAAGAUAGGUUUUCCCUUGCGCUAGGUUCACCAGGGGUGCCAUGGUGUUUUUAAGUUGUGUUUUGGGAUUGAGGGUUAAAUUCCGCAAAGAGGCCCACCCUUGUUUUUUGUUAGCAGCCAAUUUUUAGUGGGUACUCUGAGAGAACGCCGGGGUUAACUGGGAGGAAGGUGGGGAAGAGGUCAAAUCAUCCUGCCCCUAUGUCCAGGGCUUCACACCUGCUACAAAGGUGGGUACAGGGAGUUACCACACCGGAGGGGGAGCUAAUCUCUUAAAACCGGCUCCCGUUUGGAUUGGGGUCUGCAACUCGGCCCCCUGAAGUCGGAGUCGGUUGUUAAUGCAGAACCAGAAUGCGGCCCCAAUUGCUCCA